AAGCGGGCGAAUUUCGUGAAGCGUAGAGGGAGUUGGGGACCUGGACAAGUAGGAAGGGCGGAGGGCGUUGAAAGCUUUAGAGGGACGGGGCGGGGGCUCUCGCCCGCCCAGCUUGGUGCCUGCGCGUCGUAGGCGUUGUACAAAUGUUGGUCGAAUGUCGUUUCCGGGCAAUGAAAAGAGAGAGGAAUGAGGCCGAUGUGGAGGCACUGGUAAAGAAGAUUCCAGGGGACGUUGGAGGUCAAACACCUGAUCACUUAAAGUCAGACUGAGGCAGGGAGCCAAGAAUGGAAAAAAAAAUACGUGAUGAGAGGAGGACGCAAUGGGAAUAUCACACCCAGAGGAAAUUAGCACUUUGGGGAAGAAACUGCACCUGUCUUGCUUGGCUUUUACGGACUGUUAAAGUAAUGAAGAGAAUUUUUGGAACUGAAAAUAAACUUGUCUGUGAAGACAAUAUACUCAAUAUGAGGCAUACCAAUACCAACAGUCCUUUCUUUACCUCUCAAAUGAAUACAAGUUGCAGGUACAAUGAAAUGGGGGAAGAAAGUCUGAUUCCAGUGUUUGCUUUACAUCAGUAUUUCUUGCAAAAACAACUUUAUGACAAAAUAAUAACAGCAAAACAAAAAUAAUAGAAAUUCAAGGAAAUGAAGCUGCUUAUCACCUUAACUAUGAAAAAAUCUUUUUGUUUUUAUUAUUCAAGUUUCCUUCUAACAUUUUUUCAUGCAGUUGUAAUUAGGGACCAUACACGAAUGCUAUUUUUGAUAUGAUAUUGUAUAUGCUUUCCUAAUUGAUGUUCUAUAACUAUGAACAGAAUAUCAUGAAUUCAUUAAUAUGAUCAUCGUAAAGACUGUGAAAAACCCUGAAAACAUGUAUGAUAUCAAUUAAACUUGUAUCAUCAUGGAAAUAACUGAACUUUGAAUACAAAGAGCUGGAUUUAAAUCUA
This is a long non-coding RNA of Marmota monax (woodchuck), 940 nucleotides long. RefSeq lists it as uncharacterized. The record is from RefSeq and is a predicted model, not a curated record. Lineage: Eukaryota; Metazoa; Chordata; Mammalia; Rodentia; Sciuridae. The transcript has 2 exons.